Molecule: non-coding RNA, 126 nt
Organism: Populus trichocarpa (black cottonwood)
Lineage: Eukaryota; Viridiplantae; Streptophyta; Magnoliopsida; Malpighiales; Salicaceae
Source: Rfam
UAAUUUGUUUUUGUUAUAUUUCCAUUUAGUAGUAUCAGAUUAUCACUCGAAUACUCAAAAUCACUUGUACCUACAAGCUCGACUAUAUCAUAACCCCUCCACUUCUUAGAAAAGGUUAAUUUUUGU